GCAAAAGCAGCAUAAUCAAUUGGCUUUUAUUUAAGAUCUAGUACGAAAGGAUAAACGGUUAAUUAAUGUCUCUUUUGUUUUAAUUUAAAUUACUCAAGUAGUGAAUAUUCUACUAAAAGUAUAAUAGAUGAGAAGACCCCUAGAGUUACACGAAGAAUUAAAAAGUUUUUAAAAUCGGUUUGUUGGGGCAGCAAAAUCAAGCAAAACCAUAAAUCAAUUUCCUUUAAGUAUAUACAAGACUACUAAAAUUGUAAGUAUUAAAAACUACCUUAGGGAUAUCAGCACAAUUUUUAAAAGAUUGUGACCUCGAUAUUGGUU
This 318-nucleotide ribosomal RNA is filed under the name Solatopupa pallida. RNAcentral's name for it is "partial 16S ribosomal RNA". Lineage: Eukaryota; Metazoa; Mollusca; Gastropoda; Stylommatophora; Chondrinidae. The record is from RNAcentral.